RNAcentral lists this long non-coding RNA (233 nucleotides) under Lathyrus oleraceus (garden pea). RNAcentral's name for it is "Pisum sativum (pea) long non-coding RNA (PSAT_LNC031745)". The record is from RNAcentral. Lineage: Eukaryota; Viridiplantae; Streptophyta; Magnoliopsida; Fabales; Fabaceae.
GAUGACUUUGGGCUUCAAAUGAAUUUGUGAUUCCGAGUUCAAGCCGAAGCUUUGAUCCUGUGCUCCGAGAUACACAUCCAGCCAGUCUUGUCUGCAUCAUUUGCAUCAUAGCAUGUUUAUUUUCAAAAAAAUUAUGCAAUAAAAAAAAAUGAAAGAAAAAGAGAAAAAGAAAAAAAACUAAUCUCGGCAUGCAUAUCAUUUCUCAGGUUCCUUCAGGAGUUCGAUUCAUUGAU